CGGCCGCGUCGACGGCUGGCAGGUCCGCCUCACCGCGUGUACUUGUCCGGCCGGGCCUUUCCUUCUGGAGAACCUCAUGCCCUUCACUGGGUGUGUUGGGGAACCAGGACUUUUACUUUGAAAAAAUUAGAGUGUUCAAAGCAGGCCUUUGCUCGAAUACGUUAGCAUGGAAUAAUAGAAUAGGACGUGCGGUCCUAUUUUGUUGGUUUCUAGGACCGCCGUAAUGAUUAAUAGGGACAGUCGGGGGCAUCAGUAUUCAAUUGUCAGAGGUGAAAUUCUUGGAUUUAUUGAAGACUAACUACUGCGAAAGCAUUUGCCAAGGAUGUUUUCAUUAAUCAGUGAACGAAAGUUAGGGGAUCGAAGACGAUCAGAUACCGUCGUAGUCUUAACCGUAAACUAUGCCGACUAGGGAUCGGGCGAUGUUCUUUUUCUGACUCGCUCGGCACCUUACGAGAAAUCAAAGUUUUUGGGUUCUGGG
This 478-nucleotide ribosomal RNA is filed under the name uncultured eukaryote. RNAcentral describes it as "SSU rRNA". It matches the Rfam family "Eukaryotic small subunit ribosomal RNA", at positions 728 to 1118 of the family's 1831-position model. The record is from RNAcentral.